Molecule: ribosomal RNA, 479 nt
Filed under: uncultured bacterium
Lineage: Bacteria
Description: bacterial SSU rRNA
Rfam family: Bacterial small subunit ribosomal RNA
Source: RNAcentral
CGCUGGCGGCGUGCCUAACACAUGCAAGUCGAGGGGCAGCACGAUGUAGCAAUACAUUGGUGGCGACCGGCGCACGGGUGCGUAACACGUAUGGAACUUACCCUUUACUGGGAGAUAGCCCGGGGAAAUCCAGAUUAAUAUCCCAUAAUAAACGAAGUGGCAUCACUUUGUUUUGAAAGCUCCGGCGGUAAAGGAUGGCCAUGCGCACGAUUAGCUAGUAGGUGAGGUAACGGCUCACCUAGGCUACGAUCGUUAGGGGGCCUGAGAGGGUUAUCCCCCACACUGGUACUGAGACACGGACCAGACUCCUACGGGAGGCAGCAGUGAGGAAUAUUGCGCAAUGGAGGCAACUCUGACGCAGCCAUGCCGCGUGCAGGAAGAAGGCGCUACGCGUCGUAAACUGCUUUUAUCAGGGAAGAAACCCCCAGACGUGUCUGGGGUUGACGGUACCUGAGGGAUAAGCACCGGCUAACUUCGUG